GACGAACGCUGGCGGCGUGCCUAAUACAUGCAAGUCGAACGCUGAAGGAGGACCUUGCUCUUCUGGAUGAGUUGCGAACGGGUGAGUAACGCGUAAGUAACCUGCCUGGUAGCGGGGGAUAACUAUUGGAAACGAUAGCUAAUACCGCAUAACAGUAGAUGUUGCAUGACAUUUAUUUAAAAGUUCCAUUUGCAUUACUACUAGAUGGACCUGCGUAGUAUUUGCUAGGUGGUGGGGGAAAGGCUCACCUAGGCGACUAGACAGAGCGGAAGGGAGAGGGGGGGUGGCCAAACUGGGAAGGAGACACGGCCCAGAGUUCUACGGGAGGGAGCAGGAGGGCAUCUUCGGAAAUAGGCGGAAGUCAGAACGAAGAAAGCCGGGGGAGGGAAGAAGGGUGUCGGGUCGGAAAGGUCGGUUGUAAGGGAAGAAAGAGCGUGAGGGUGGAAAGUUGACAUUGUGACGGUAACUGAAGAAAAAGGAACGGCUAACUACGUG
This 495-nucleotide ribosomal RNA is filed under the name uncultured bacterium. RNAcentral describes it as "partial 16S ribosomal RNA". It matches the Rfam family "Bacterial small subunit ribosomal RNA", at positions 28 to 507 of the family's 1533-position model. The record is from RNAcentral.